Molecule: long non-coding RNA, 1242 nt
Filed under: Citrus sinensis (sweet orange)
Lineage: Eukaryota; Viridiplantae; Streptophyta; Magnoliopsida; Sapindales; Rutaceae
Description: long non-coding RNA (CSIN_LNC004873)
Source: RNAcentral
UUCUCUCAAAAAUGUUAUUCUUUCAGGAUCCACGUUGUUCAAAACAAUAUUUUCUCUAGCAAGCUCCACAGCAGGCAGUGAUGUAUCAACGCCUAAGAGAAUAUAAGAGAUGAUGGAACAGUCAAUGUUUUUUCAAGGUAGGUGCAAUCUUACAAUGUCUACUAUUAUGGUGUGCAGAUAAUCCAAACUACAUAAAUUUAAAUGUUACUAACAAGGUGAAUGAACUUGGGAAAGCUAGGAAAACAAAGUCCCCGAUAAUAUAUUAGGGUGACAGUCUUGGAGAAAAUGGCUUUUCUUAGAUAUCAAUUUUUGAUAAGGGCAAAAAUAAGUGGGGAAAAUAUACCAGUUACAUUUACAGCACCUCCUCUUAUAGCACUUAGAGAAAAACCACCACUGUAGCAGCAAAUAUCAAGAACCUUCUGUCCGCUUGAUAUUGUUGAAAUGAACUGACGGUUUUCACGCUGAUCAGCAUAAAAUCCAGUUUUCUGGCCUUCCAUUGAAAUUGCAUAAGAUAUCCCAUUUUCUAAAACCUGGGACAUGGAUUACAAGAUGGAAUAAAUUACCCAUGCUUAACAGAUCUAAUAACAUUGUAGAAUCAGCCUGCGAUUUAAAUUUGAGUGGUGGUAGCAAAAAAUCAAGAUUACAAGAACAAGUAAGCCUGUCAGUAUCUCAGCAAUUCCUGUAGAAAUGGUGCAAUUUUCAUGAAUUUUCAUUCGACCAAUCCUCAAUAUGUACCAUAUUUUCUUUUGAGAAAAAAGUUAACCCUUGAUACCAAUCAUUGAAGGAAAUUCUUCAACUAUAAUGUACCUAGGAGGUUAAAACAUCAUAACACAUAGGGUAGAAUGGCAUUACUAAAAGAGAAUCAGAUUUUAGACAUUACACAGAAACAGUUGGAGCAGGCGUUGAUUUAUUACAGAAAAUUUCAUGAAUUCACAUGUAUUAUGCAGAAAGAAUAAAUAUGAUAAACACCUGCUAAUUUGCAUAGUGGUAAAACUUUGUUUACACUAUUUUUCUGCAGAUCCUGACAAUUUCACAAGCUUGCACUAGUAACCCAAUGUUAAUAUACAAUGUUCGAAUGGAUUUCCUACCUUUGUUCUUUCAGGGUAUGUAGAUGGAUCCGUUUCUUUCAAAUCUGACAAAUCCAACCCUUCUUCUUUCAAAAUUUCAACCGAUGGUCUCCAUUUUAUAUGUUUGAUAUCACAAACUUUACGAAUGUUAGCCUCUAUCUCUGGUUUGUGCUUC